Molecule: ribosomal RNA, 496 nt
Filed under: uncultured bacterium
Lineage: Bacteria
Description: partial 16S ribosomal RNA
Rfam family: Bacterial small subunit ribosomal RNA
Source: RNAcentral
AUGAACGCUGGCGGCUUGCCUAAUACCUGCAAGUCGAGCGAACAGACGAGGAGCUUGCUCCUCUGACGUUAGCGGCGGACGGGUGAGUAACACGUGGAUAACCUACCUAUAAGACUGGGAUAACUUCGGGAAACCGGAGCUAAUACCGGAUAAUAUAUUGAACCGCAUGGUUCAAUAGUGAAAGACGGUUUUGCUGUCACUUAUAGAUGGAUCCGCGCCGCAUUAGCUAGUUGGUAAGGUAACGGCUUACCAAGGCAACGAUGCGUAGCCGACCUGAGAGGGUGAUCGGCCACACUGGAACUGAGACACGGUCCAGACUCCUACGGGAGGCAGCAGUAGGGAAUCUUCCGCAAUGGGCGAAAGCUUGACGGAGCAACGCCGCGUGAGUGAUGAAGGUCUUCGGAUCGUAAAACUCUGUUAUUAGGGAAGAACAAAUGUGUAAGUAACUAUGCACGUCUUGACGGUACCUAAUCAGAAAGCCACGGCUAACUACGUG